AGGACGAACGCUGGCGGCGUGCUUAACACAUGCAAGUCGAGCGGAAAGGCCCUUCGGGGUACUCGAGCGGCGAACGGGUGAGUAACACAUGAGCAACCUGCCCUUAGCUUCGGGAUAGCUCCGGGAAACCGGAAUUAAUACCGAAUAUGAUUUUUGCUGACAUCAGCAGAAGUGGAAAGUUUUUCGGCUAGGGAUGGACUCGCGGCCUAUCAGCUAGUUGGUGAGGUAACGGCCCACCAAGGCGACGACGGGUA
RNAcentral lists this ribosomal RNA (254 nucleotides) under uncultured bacterium. RNAcentral describes it as "partial small subunit ribosomal RNA". It matches the Rfam family "Bacterial small subunit ribosomal RNA", at positions 26 to 285 of the family's 1533-position model. The record is from RNAcentral.